RNAcentral lists this long non-coding RNA (1189 nucleotides) under Ornithorhynchus anatinus (platypus). RNAcentral's name for it is "lncRNA (ENSOANG00000042404.1)". The record is from RNAcentral. Lineage: Eukaryota; Metazoa; Chordata; Mammalia; Monotremata; Ornithorhynchidae.
AUUCAUUCAUUCAUUAGUAUUUAUUGAGCGCUUACUAUGUGCAGAGCACUGUACUAAGCACUUGGAAUGUACAAAUCGGUAACAGAGACAGUCCCUGCCCUUUGACGGGCUUACCGUCUAAUCGGGGGAGAAAUAAUAAUGUUGGUAUUUGUUAAGCGCUUACUAUGUGCAGAGCACUGUUCUAAGCACUGGGGUAGAUACAGGGUCAUCAGGUUGUCCCACGUGAGGCUCACAGUCUCAAUCCCCAUUUUACAGUUGAGGUAACUGAGGCCCAGAGAAGUGAAGUGACUUGCCCACAGUCACACAGCUGACAAGUGGCAGAGCUGGGUUUCGAACCCAUGACCUCUGACUCCCAAGCCCGGGCUCUUUCCACUGAGCCACGCUGCUUCUAUGCUCUAUCCCCAGGCCAUGCUGCAUCUCUAGUUGCCUUGAGUGUGGCUCUCUGGUGAAGUUAAAAAGUGAGGGACCGGGGAAAGGAAGGGAGGAUUUUAUGAGUAAUAUAGUCUCCCUGAGUACAGAAAGAUUUCUUUUAUUUAGGGGGAAGUUUGAUAACUCUGGUUCUGGCUGGAGAUUGAACAGUCUCAUAUCCUCUAUUUUAGUUGCAGAUAAACUACCUCUUAGUUGCAGAACUCAUGGUCUUUGAUCUAGCUUGCCAAAAGCUUGCAGCUUACUUUCCAGUUACAUCAUAUGCCAUGGAAAAGGUGCCGGAGCCCACCGCUGUUCGAAGCAGAGACAGCCUCCAGGAUUGUCCUGUGAAGACCCCAUUAAGGUUUCCGAUGUCAGUAGGAGCAGCGAACUUUAACCCUGUCCCCAGGACGCAGAUGCCCACCCUUAUAGGGCCCUGCUUGGUCUGGUGAGAUGGAGAUGAUGAAGAUGAGCUCUGAGGUCAAAGGAAGAGAACCUUUUCCCAAAAAGGAGUGAAAAAGAAGAAAAGUCUGCCCACACCCCCUUGGCCAACUGUGGUUAGGACAACAUAGUUUCACCUCUCCGCCGGGACCAGACCGUACCAGGGACUGGUUUGACAUUGGUUGUUUUUCUGAGCAACUCAAUGCACUUUCUGGUCACCUCCUGACCCAGAUGCCCAGGCAGAGGGAAGUGGGGAGACUUGGGCAGAGCUUGUGUAGGGUACCAAUGCCUCUGCGAACACUUCUAGGAUUUUCUGGAGAGGAAAGUUACAAAAAAAAAAGUU